Molecule: ribosomal RNA, 213 nt
Filed under: Triticum aestivum (bread wheat)
Lineage: Eukaryota; Viridiplantae; Streptophyta; Magnoliopsida; Poales; Poaceae
Description: partial small subunit ribosomal RNA
Source: RNAcentral
AUGAGUUGUUUGAGCUAGAACUGCCGGGGGCUUGGGAACCCCGGGGCAGUUCGCGAGCUUCGCAACAUUGUGAAGCAAGAAGGGCCCGAUCUCUUGUUCGUUAUGGAGACGAAAAUUUCAGUGACUAGAGUGGAAAGCUUACAGAAUCUGCUAGGUUUCUCGGGCUGCUAUGCAGUUAGCAGUACGGGUCUGAGUGGAGGUAUUGGCAUGUUU